Molecule: ribosomal RNA, 387 nt
Filed under: uncultured bacterium
Lineage: Bacteria
Description: bacterial SSU rRNA
Rfam family: Bacterial small subunit ribosomal RNA
Source: RNAcentral
GACGAACGCUGGCGGCGUGCUUAACACAUGCAAGUCGAGCGGUAAGGCCCUUUCGGGGGUACACGAGCGGCGAACGGGUGAGUAACACGUGGGUGACCUGCCCUCAGCUCUGGGAUAAGCCUGGGAAACUGGGUCUAAUACCGGAUAUGACUCCAUGACGCAUGUUGUGGGGUGGAAAGCCUUGUGCGGCUGAGGAUGGGCCCGCGGCCUAUCAGCUUGUUGGUGGGGUGANGGCCUACCAAGGCGACGACGGGUAGCCGGCCUGAGAGGCGACCGGCCACACUGGGACUGAGACACGGCCCAGACUCCUACGGGAGGCAGCAGUGGGGAAUCUUGCGCAAUGGGCGAAAGCCUGACGCAGCGACGCCGCGUGAGGGAUGACGGCCU